UGUCCAUGUGGGAUUCAAACCCACGACCCUUGUAUGCUAGACGAGUGUUUUACCAACGAAGCUACUGAAAC
Molecule: transfer RNA, 71 nt
Filed under: Aedes aegypti (yellow fever mosquito)
Lineage: Eukaryota; Metazoa; Arthropoda; Insecta; Diptera; Culicidae
Description: partial tRNA-OTHER
Source: RNAcentral